AUACGUAGGGGGCGAGCGUUGUCCGGAAUGACUGGGCGUAAAGGGUACGUAGGCGGCCAGGUAAGUCAGAUGUGAAAGGCAUAGGCUCAACCUGUGUAAGCAUUUGAAACUGUCUGGCUUGAGUUAAGGAGAGGAAAGUGGAAUUCCUGGUGUAGCGGUGAAAUGCGUAGAUAUCAGGAGGAAUACCAGUGGCGAAGGCGACUUUCUGGACUUAAACUGACGCUGAGGUACGAAAGCGUGGGGAGCAAACAGGAUUAGAUACCCUGGUAGUCCACGCCGUAAACGAUGAGUGCUAGGUGUCGGGGGUCGAACCUCGGUGCCGGAGCCAACGCAUUAAGCACUCCGCCUGGGGAGUACGUUCGCAAGAAUGAA
RNAcentral lists this ribosomal RNA (372 nucleotides) under uncultured bacterium. RNAcentral's name for it is "bacterial SSU rRNA". It matches the Rfam family "Bacterial small subunit ribosomal RNA", at positions 523 to 898 of the family's 1533-position model. The record is from RNAcentral.